This 331-nucleotide ribosomal RNA is filed under the name uncultured Pseudomonadota bacterium. Its description in RNAcentral is "bacterial SSU rRNA". It matches the Rfam family "Bacterial small subunit ribosomal RNA", at positions 568 to 898 of the family's 1533-position model. Lineage: Bacteria; Pseudomonadati; Pseudomonadota. The record is from RNAcentral.
CGCGUAGGCGGCUCAUACAGUCAGGCGUGAAAUUCCUGGGCUCAACCUGGGGACUGCGCUUGAGACGUGUGGGCUUGAGUGGGGAAGAGGGUCGUGGAAUUCCCAGUGUAGAGGUGAAAUUCGUAGAUAUUGGGAAGAACACCGGUGGCGAAGGCGGCGACCUGGUCCUUGACUGACGCUGAGGCGCGAAAGCGUGGGGAGCAAACAGGAUUAGAUACCCUGGUAGUCCACGCCGUAAACGAUGUGCGCUGGAUGUUGGGCGGCCUAGCCGUUCAGUGUCGUAGCUAACGCGAUAAGCGCACCGCCUGGGGAGUACGGCCGCAAGGUUGAA